This 484-nucleotide ribosomal RNA is filed under the name uncultured bacterium. Its description in RNAcentral is "partial 16S ribosomal RNA". It matches the Rfam family "Bacterial small subunit ribosomal RNA", at positions 30 to 507 of the family's 1533-position model. The record is from RNAcentral.
AUUGAACGCUGGCGGCAGGCCUAACACAUGCAAGUCGAGCGGAUGAAGGGAGCUUGCUCCUGGAUUCAGCGGCGGGCGGGUGAGUAAUGCCUAGGAAUCUGCCUGGCAGUGGGGGAUAACGUCCGGAAACGGGCGCUAAUACCGCAUACGUCCUGAGGGUGAAAGUGGGGGAUCUUCGGACCGCACGCUAUCAGAUGAGCCUAGGUCGGAUUAGCUAGCUGGUGGGGUAAAGGCCUACCAAGGCGACGAUCCGUAACUGGACUGAGAGGAUGAUCAGUCACACUGGAACUGGGACACGGUCCAGGCUCCUACGGGAGGCAGCAGUGGGGAAUAUUGGACAAUGGGCGAAAGCCUGAUCCAGCCAUGCCGCGUGUGUGAAGAAGGUCUUCGGAUUGUAAAGCACUUUAAGUUGGGAGGAAGGGCAGUAAGUUAAUACCUUGCUGUUUUGACGUUACCAACAGAAUAAGCACCGGCUAACUUCGUG